Molecule: long non-coding RNA, 693 nt
Organism: Oreochromis aureus
Lineage: Eukaryota; Metazoa; Chordata; Actinopteri; Cichliformes; Cichlidae
Source: Ensembl
CAAAUGCAGGCAGCAGUGCACCUCUGCCUGCAUUUGUCAGUUAAAGUUAAACACAGACAUGGCUAAUAUGUGAACAAGCAUUCACAUACAUACAAUGUGAGAAUGGAGAAACAAGGAGAUUACAGCCUGUACUAUGGUGCCAAAUGGAGCCUGAGAGAAAUGAGAACAUAAAACACAUGCACACAGGAAGGAGAGGGGUGGUGGUUUAAAGGACUCCUUCAAAAACUACUUGUUGAGGCAAAGUGCAGCUAGUUGAAGAGCUGAAGAAGGAAUACCUGAGGCUUUUGCUGCUGACGGAGAGCAGCAAAGAGUUGCUCGACGAUUUACAGACAGAUUUGGAGUGUUGUGGACUUCAGGGCUACCAGGACUGGAAAUCCAACAUCCCAAAAUCCUGCCUUUGCGCCAAAGAGUCCACUAAUUCGUGUGUGGAAACUCUUGGAGGCAGCUGGGAGGAAAAUCAGACUGUUAUGAUUUAUGAACAGGUAUUAAAGACAUUCUCAUCAUUUUUCCAGGAACUUGUGUAAACUCUAUAAGCUGUUAUGGCAAAAGCAGGCAACUACACCACCCUCACAGAGCCUCCAGACGACUUCCGAUGUCUUUGCUAGUUCUGAUGCUUCCAGCAGUGAUGGCCAUUAUUUAAACAUGCUAAAUAAUAAAUAUAUUUAUGACAAUUGCUUAUAUUGAAUAUAUCCU